This 483-nucleotide ribosomal RNA is filed under the name uncultured bacterium. RNAcentral's name for it is "partial 16S ribosomal RNA". It matches the Rfam family "Bacterial small subunit ribosomal RNA", at positions 30 to 506 of the family's 1533-position model. The record is from RNAcentral.
AUUGAACGCUGGCGGCAGGCCUAACACAUGCAAGUCGAGCGGCUGAAGGGAACUUGCUCCUGGAUUCAGCGGCCGACGGGUGGGUAAUGCCUAGGAAUCUGCCUGUUAGUUGUGUAUAACGUCCUGACACGGGCGCUAAUACCCCAUACGUCCUGAGGGAGAACGUGGGGGAUCUUCGGACCUCCCGCUCUCAGAUGAUCCUAUGUCGGAUUGGCUAGUUGGUGGGGUAAAGGCCUACCAAGGCGACGAUCCGUAACUGGUAUGAGGGGAUGAUAAGUAACACUGGAACUGAGAAACGGUCCAGACUCCUACGGGAGGAAGCAGGGGGGAAUAUUGGAAAAUGGGGGAAGGCCUAAUCCAGCAAUGCGGGGUGGGGGAAGAAGGUUUCCGGAUUGUAAAGCAUUUUGAGGGGGGAGAAAGGGAAGUAGGUUAAUACCCGGUGGUUUUGACGUUACCAACAGAAUAAGCACCGCUUAACUUGGG